UACGAAGGGGGCUAGCGUUGCUCGGAAUUACUGGGCGUAAAGGGCGCGUAGGCGGACAGUUUAGUCAGAGGUGAAAGCCCAGGGCUCAACCCUGGAAUUGCCUUUGAUACUGACUGUCUUGAGUACGGGAGAGGUGUGUGGAACUCCGAGUGUAGAGGUGAAAUUCGUAGAUAUUCGGAAGAACACCAGUGGCGAAGGCGACACACUGGCCCGUUACUGACGCCUGAGGCGCGAAAGCGUGGGGAGCAAACAGG
RNAcentral lists this ribosomal RNA (254 nucleotides) under uncultured bacterium. RNAcentral describes it as "partial 16S ribosomal RNA". It matches the Rfam family "Bacterial small subunit ribosomal RNA", at positions 524 to 776 of the family's 1533-position model. The record is from RNAcentral.